This 247-nucleotide ribosomal RNA is filed under the name uncultured Gardnerella sp. RNAcentral's name for it is "partial 16S ribosomal RNA". It matches the Rfam family "Bacterial small subunit ribosomal RNA", at positions 108 to 354 of the family's 1533-position model. The record is from RNAcentral. Lineage: Bacteria; Bacillati; Actinomycetota; Actinomycetes; Bifidobacteriales; Bifidobacteriaceae.
GAGUAAUGCGUGACCAACCUGCCCCAUGCUCCAGAAUAGCUCUUGGAAACGGGUGGUAAUGCUGGAUGCUCCAACUUGACGCAUGUCUUGUUGGGAAAGUGUUUAGUGGCAUGGGAUGGGGUCGCGUCCUAUCAGCUUGUAGGCGGGGUAAUGGCCCACCUAGGCUUCGACGGGUAGCCGGCCUGAGAGGGCGGACGGCCACAUUGGGACUGAGAUACGGCCCAGACUCCUACGGGAGGCAGCAGGA